UGGGACGUGUACGUUGGUUGUUUG
RNAcentral lists this non-coding RNA (24 nucleotides) under Arabidopsis thaliana (thale cress). The record is from RNAcentral. Lineage: Eukaryota; Viridiplantae; Streptophyta; Magnoliopsida; Brassicales; Brassicaceae.